UAGUGAAGAAAUGUAAAUUUGCAUUGGGCUGAUGGAUAAAAUAUUUAAGCCGAAGAUGCCGGUUCUCCCCUCACUCCAUGUUACCUGUCCACCAUCACCCGGCUCCCUGCAGAAAUCCUGAGGGCAGUGGCUGCGUGUGGAAUCUGCUUGGUGCAGAGUGGGAAUUUCACCAAGCCAAAACCCAUGCACAAAAAUAAAGCUUGGUCUGUCCUAUUAAAAAAAAGAGAGGAAAAAAAUUGCACAUACAGGAUUAGUAAGAGCAGAUGCAACUUGAAAACCAAGAGCUAAAUUGAUUUAUAGCCAUGGUUACUCGAAAUGCUCAGAGUUUAAUCUAUUCAUAGAAAUGCUCUAGAAAUCCCACAGGAUUCCAAUGGAAUAAAAAGGAGCUGUGCUCUUAGGCAGGCAUUAUUUAUACACCUUGCUCCUAAAGCAACAGCUUUCCCGUGCAAUUGGAAGAGUUGUGGGCGGCAGCACACAAUGGUAAAAAGAUAAAUAUUGAACAGCUUUCUUAAAUUAGCAUUUUCCUUACAUUUCACCUUUUCAACUGAUUGGGUUUUUUUUUCACCUCACAGGCCCAAGUAACCCUGUGGUUAACACUUUAUGAGCUGGGUGACAGAUCCUACCCAAAAUGAGCUCAGCAUGAAGAAUUUCCCCAUCAAAAAUACUCUAAACAGAGCUGGUGAUUUAAGGAAAUUACAUUCUUUUAAUCCUUUUCGUGAACUCAUGAGAUUCUUCACUAUUUCACAGCCACGGAACUGAGUGAGAAGGACACUGAGGAUUUCUGGAAGCCGAGAGUUUCUGUGGGAGACAUCAGCACCUGCAGAGCCAAAGGUCACCACUGGCACCGAUUUUGGGAGCGUUUACUCUGACAUUUUGGAUGUUGUGACAAAGAACAGCCAACAGUGGAUGUGGUGGUUUAGCUGGAGGAAAAUUCAGGAUGCAGUCAAGAAAGAAAGGAAACAAUUCCUGAUGGAGAAUCACGUUCCCUUCUGCCUCUGCUGUCCACGAUCCAGAUGACAACCACAUGACUGUGUUUGGAAAAGGUUGAGUUUGUUACCUCCGGUGCUCCUUCCCCUGUUCACUGUGCUAAAAUCAUCAUGCAAAUUGGAAGUGAGACGUGAAAUUUUCCCCUCCUCUGGGAUGUCUCAGAUCUGGGAUGUUGGCUUCAGGAGGAACCUGCCUCUCCUGGACAGGGGCAACAUCCAAGGCUCCAUCCAUGGAGAAGGGAAAGCCCAGGCAGCUUCUGUGAACAGGGCCAAGCUCCUUCAGCAACCACGUGGCCCAAGGAGCGAUGUCUUCUUACUUGGACACACUUUUAUUUAAAAGUGGAAAAAGCGAUGAAUGGAUUCCAUGCUUUGCCUCAGCCCAUGCGGGGGAUCAAGGGCCUGUUGGAAUUGUCCCUUGGGAAAAAGAGAGGAGCUUCCCACUGCAGUGCUGGCAGCGCAUCCCCAGCAUCUCUGCAGGGAUGGGUUUGGAGGGAACACUCAGGUAUUUUUAUUUGGACUCCAACCGUGCUGAAUGUGCGAGAAUUAGACACUGAAAUUUAACUGUACAGCAGAAUUCGUUUUCCUUACUUAACACUGCAGUGCUAGAAUUCCUUGGUGAUGGCCAGGGAGGGAUCUCCCCUCUCACAUCUGGCUCUGAACCUGGCAGGGCUUCCACAGCAUUCCUUGUUUAAGCUGAGGCACUUGGGGAAACCUCAACCUUCUGUGAUUUUGGAGCCACCAUUGCAGCUCCAGAGCCCUGCAUCCAGGCUGGCUCACAGGGAGCUUCCCACUGGAGCCUGGAUCUUUGAGGGAGCCACAACUCCAGCUGCAGGAACGGCAGCUCCUGGUGGCUCUGGGAAGCAGCAGGGUCUGAGCACACCCUGGCUGCAGGGUCCCGAGGGAGCACUCCCUCUCAGCCACCUCCCAAGGCGAGACAUUUGGAUUUCUCCUCUCAGUUACAGCAAGCACAGCUGCAAAUAUGAUCAAAAAUAUCUAAUCCUCUUAGCUGCUUCUGCAGUUUGACUCGAUCGCUGCAGAGGAAAAUGCUGUGAUUGCAGAGCGCUGCCUGCAUUCCCACGUAAGCCUCAGCUUUUACACCAUUGAUCAUCCCUCCACAUUGAUUUUUUGGAAGGAGGAGAAGGUGUUUGGCUCCUUGACGUGAAACUGAGGGGGUUUUUCAGGAAGGGUUUGGAAGCCAGGAGCUCCCAGGGCAGCACGUGGCUCUUGGUGCUCCUUCACCGAACAAGCAGAAUCCAGCUGGGAUUUCUUCUUCACCAGAAGCCAGAGCACAUUUGAAAGCUGUCAAGGAGAAUUGUUUGGGAAAAAUCCCCUUUGCUCCUUGUGCAACCCCUGCACUUGCAGAGGGAAUCUCUUGGCGCAGCUGUGCUUGGACAAGACCAUCCAGCUUCCCCUCCAUCAGCACGGGGCCUCCAGCUGCAGCAGCAUCCCUGUCCCCUGUGGAUAACUGUGGAUAACUCCAGCUCACCCAUCUCGCUUGGCCACAUCUCCCACUCAGCUCCUCCAGCCCUCACAGGAAGGUUUUCCAACUGGGACUCCACACAGGCCAUGGAUUCCAGCCAACAGCACCAGGAGUUUCUCCAGCCUAAGUUAAUUCUGCUUGGGCUAAGAUUCCCAGCAGUGCAGAGGAAUUGGUCUGGGAGAUUGCAGUCGUGGUGUAGAUGCUGGAAGGAUUUAUUGUUGGUUUGGUUUUGUUUCACAGAACUCUGUCACACAGAUCGUGAAGCUGCUUUGGAACCUCACUCACACCUGUAAGGGGGGGUCUCCCAGCAGCCCAAAAUGGAGCCCACCCAGGUGGGUUUCACCUGCUUAAACCCUUCUGCUGUACAUGGCAAGAGGCUCCUCUUCCCCAAAGAAUGUCCCACAUCAGUGGAGACUGAUCAAUACCACAAAUAACACAUAAAUGAGGGAAGAGGAGACUGGGAGGGCUGUAAAUUGUUGUCAAAACCAUCAUCUCUGCAUCCAGGAGACCACACUGACACUGUCCUCCAAGGCCAUUGCCACCACACAGGGACACAGAAAACAGGCACAGAAACCAGCUCAUUGCAGUCUGCCUCCAGGAAAAAUCAGCAGAGCCCAGGAUCUCAGGCAGGGAAUAAGCGCAGCUGCUUAACACAGCUCAUCCUCACCCACUGCCCUCGGGCCCACAAACCCAGAAAACCUCUCCAACCACCAAAUCAGCACAUUACUGAACCUGCAAAGACCAAAAUCUCAGUUUCCUGGUGAGCUCAGCUGCCAGCAGCAGCAGCAGCAGCAGCAGCAGCAAAGCUUUGCACGGCUUGCCAGCCUCAGCACAGCUCCGGAAACCCCCCCCAGAGAGCCCCCACCUACCCCAGCUCCAGCUCAGCUCCAGCUCAGCUCCAGCUCGGCAGCAGCCCCCCAGGUGCAGCAGCUUUGGAGGAGCUGAAGAAGGUUCAGCAGGGCCCAAUUUCCUGGUGGGGAAGUAAACAUUGUUCUCCCGGAGGUGUUUGAUGUUUUUAACCAGCUUGGGAUGGAAGGAGUUUGAGUCUCCAGCUCCCUGGGAGAAGGUGGAAGGAAACCAUGUGAGUGUGUUGAGGUUUGUUGUCUAACUCAAUUAACCGAUUACUUCCAGGUCAAGAAGGGGCAAAGCUGUAGCUGCUCUUGGUGCUGUAAAUAAUGUUUGCUCAGGGGUGGUGCAGGGGCAGGAAGCUGUAGGUGUGGGGUUUUCACUUGGAAGGAAAGCAAAUAUCUCCGAUUGCUUCCUGCUCCCAGCAAACCUGUCCCUAUUUUACUGUUGCUCCUCCGAUUCUGGGGUGAACCCAAUUAUUGCCUUGGGAAAUGUGUGCAGGAAUUCAGGUUCAGGAGGAAUACACAAAUAUCCCUCCUGUGCUGUAAAACACACCCCAAACUCCGCUGGGUGUCCUGGUGUGGGAUCCCCUUUGGAGCAGCUGCGUGAGUUUGCCUUUAAAACACCAAACAUUAGACCAAAAUGUUCAUUUUUGUAAAAAAAACCAAAACAAAAUGGGGGUAGGAUGUUUUGGUGAAAUGGAUGUGAAUCCCUCAGAGCUCAAGCGAGAACAGACAAGUCAGUUGAUGCAGAUCAAGGCAGGAAUUUUCCAGCGGGCCUUAGGGAAUUGGGCUUCAGGGGAAAGGUAAAGGGAGCAGGGAGCAGGUGGUGGGACAGCAGGGCAUGGCCGUGGGGGGCUCCAGCUCGGGCACGUGGACACCUGUGGAUCUUUGCCCUGAGGGGACUUGGUGUCCACUCUGCUCAAAUUUUCCUUGGGCACAAGGCAGAGAUGUCACCUCAGGCAGGACGCUGGCUCCUCUGCAGAACGGUGACAUGGGGGGGAUUCAUUGGAAUAAAGGGACGGGUUCUUCCCAAGACACAGAUUGAACGAGACCCUGGAACCAGAGACAGCAAUGUCAGACCCCAACCUGCCAAUCCAGCCUUGCCAUGGCUCAGGUGGAACAUUCCUGUCACGGAGCAGUGACAGUCCAGCCAUGGGCCCCAGCUCACCCCCAGCUGCCCAAAACUUCCCUCCCAGAGCCCUCUGUCCUGCUUCCCUCCCAGCCCGUGGAGCCGCCUCUCCCCACGCUCACUCGGGAGCAGCUGCUGCAGUGAAUCACAGCAGCAUCCUCCAGCCUCUGCCGAGCCCCAGCUGGGCUUCUCCCUGACCGCUGCAAUCCCACAGCCCCUGCUGACCUCCUCUCCCGGGCAGCUGGGUGCUGCCCCUGCUCACAGAAUCACUUUGGUGUCCCUCCCUGCCCGGAGGGGAAGCAGGGACCUUUUCCAGUGGGAACAGCAGGAUCCAGUGAAGUUCCCAGCACAUGCUGGCCACCAGCAGUGCUCUGGGGAGAGCAGGUCCCUCAUUUCUUGCUCCUGCAGGAACAUCUCUCCGUUGUUCCACGGAGCCCAUGUGGGACGUGCCAAGGCAGGCUGUGUCCUACAGCUGUUCAGCUGGGGAAAGGUGCGUUCCUUUUGGGAUUUCAAAAAAAAAAGGCGAUUUCAGGGGUUGUAAGCACAGCAGGAGCUGGGCCAAUGCCAGCUGCCCAGUGCUGCUGCAGCCUCCUGCUGUGGGCACAGUGAGUCACAGCCAGGGCUGACCUGCUGCUCCACUUGCUGAUGUCAAAACUUCACCACGGGCUGAGCUCCCAGUGCCAAAGCUUUCUCCAGGUUUGUGGGUGUGGAUGAGGGGUAAGGAAAAGUCACAGAGCGGCCUGAGCUGGGACCUUUCCCUUCACCACAAGCCCCAUUUCCUCUGGGAAGUCUCCCAAGGGAGGGAGCCUGGGAGAGCCCAAUGAUCGACAGCAGUGAAUAAACACCCAGACAGACACUGCAGGCUCUCUGCUCACCUGGGAUGGUUUAAGGAGAAGCUGGAGGGCACUCAAGGACUGAAAGUUAUUUGGUUUAAUGCAAAGCAUUCUACAAUUCUUCUUUUUCUGCACAAGCUGCCCAGAGAUAACUGCCCAGCCUUGUCUGCUCCUAUCAGCUCUGCUGAGCCCAACUUCCCCAGCCCAAAGAAGACCGAGAGCUCAUUUGGACAGCUUUGCCUUUGAGUUAAAAACUAUCAGACUUCCAAAAUAACCUCCUCCCUCCCCUCCGGUGGAACACACACACAGAAAGAACUGC
Hirundo rustica (Barn swallow) is the source of this 5595-nucleotide long non-coding RNA. RefSeq lists it as uncharacterized. The record is from RefSeq and is a predicted model, not a curated record. Lineage: Eukaryota; Metazoa; Chordata; Aves; Passeriformes; Hirundinidae. The transcript is spliced from 3 exons.